GAAGUUUACUGAUCCUAUAAGGAGAUAAUUUUAGCAGUACCAAACGAUACAGUUCAUUCAUAAUAUAAAAUAUUUAUACAAACUAUCCUAGUUCAGUAUCACAUCACACAACCACAGUGAGAUAUAUCCUUGUGUUUAUUGGGUGGAUGCAUGUAUAGCACCUACAGUUGAGACCAUGGAAUCCACUCCACAUACAUUUCGACCUCUGCAGAUCUUGUAGUAUCCAUUCUCUCCCCAGUUCUCCCCCCACGAGUUCUUGAUGAUCCAGUAAGGCUUUUCCUUAAAACGAAUGGGAGCAUAUGCACCUUCACCAUAACCCACUAAAAGAACCCC
RNAcentral lists this long non-coding RNA (333 nucleotides) under Phaseolus vulgaris (common bean). RNAcentral describes it as "long non-coding RNA (PVUL_LNC004792)". The record is from RNAcentral. Lineage: Eukaryota; Viridiplantae; Streptophyta; Magnoliopsida; Fabales; Fabaceae.